This 210-nucleotide ribosomal RNA is filed under the name uncultured bacterium. RNAcentral describes it as "partial 16S ribosomal RNA". It matches the Rfam family "Bacterial small subunit ribosomal RNA", at positions 524 to 733 of the family's 1533-position model. The record is from RNAcentral.
UACGAAUCGUGCGAACGUUGUUCGGAAUCACUGGGCUUAAAGGGCGCGUAGGCGGGUGGCCAAGUCCGGGGUGAAAUCCCACAGCUUAACUGUGGAAUUGCCUCGGAUACUGGUCACCUCGAGGGAGGGAGGGGAGUGUGGAACGUUUGGUGUAGCGGUGAAAUGCGAUGAUAUCAAACGGAACUCUGGUGGCGAAGGCGACACGCUGGG